GUCGCGUUGGACUUCUGGUUGAGGUCAGCAUCCUUUCAAGGUGCGUAGGUCGGGUUCGAAUCCCACACGCGACACCA
This is a transfer RNA of 77 nucleotides. It matches the Rfam family "tRNA". From Rfam's summary of the family: Transfer RNA (tRNA) molecules are approximately 80 nucleotides in length. Their secondary structure includes four short double-helical elements and three loops (D, anti-codon, and T loops).